This 1303-nucleotide long non-coding RNA is filed under the name Homo sapiens (human). RNAcentral's name for it is "HSALNT0382129". The record is from RNAcentral. Lineage: Eukaryota; Metazoa; Chordata; Mammalia; Primates; Hominidae.
UCAGGUGAUCAACCUGCCUCAGCCUCCCAAAGUGCUGGGAUUACAGGCGUGAGCCACCGCACCUGGCCUAGGGGUACCUUUAAUAAAUCUUUUUGGGGGUGCAAUUCAGCCCUCAAGACCAGGUGAGAGAGUCCCUCCCAGUAUGAUUGCAAGCUCAAACCCAUGGAUCCAAAUCAGGAUACCACCUUAAAUUUAACAUAAUGCCCUUAAAAAUGAAAAAGGUCAGAACCAAGCUCUAUCCACAGAAUCAAAUCAAAAUUUCACUUUGGCAUCCUUCUUUUGCUCACCCUUCACCCUGUUCCCCACCCGUUGUAUGUGCACUCAGCUAGCUCUAUGUUUCCUCUGUACAUCCUUCCUGCUUGAAUUUGAUAGUCUCAAUUUUUCAGUCAAGUUAGUUCUUAACAAUUUUGAGGUCAUGGGACCACUCUGAGAAUCUAAUAGAAGCUAUGGAGUCUCUGAGAACACUGCACAGAUAAAAACAAUUUAGCAUCCAAUUUCAGAGCAGUCAGAUACUAAUCCACUUCCCUCCUCCCCAAGGGCCUCUAAGUAUAGAACCACCUUGCACAGUUUGGCUUCCCCAGGCAUUGAUUCUGCAAUAAAAUCAUCACAACUCACUAUCAAUCCCUCUUCCAAGGCAAUUUCUCCAGAUCCUGCACAUUGUGCAGUGCUCCAUACUCUGGGUCUUGGCCAACCUUAGCUGUCCAGCCACUGCCUCGGGCUGAAGCUGAGAAGGGCUGGCUGGGCAGAGCUCUUCCACUGGGCCCUGAAGGCAGCUGGACUCCCUCUCCAGCCAACUUGGCUGUGAGCAUAGAACCCCCACAAAUUCUGCUUGACCCAACACCUCUUCUGAGCCCACUUUCUCCAGGGGUGGGUAGAAAUAUCUCAGAAUGUUAAAACUUCUCAGUCCGCAAGCCAUGUUAUCAUCUGGAUUUCAACAAAGAAAAGUGACUCCAGCAUGCAGAGUGGGAUCAACUUGCUCUACCAACUCUGGAUCUUCUGUCAUCUGGAAAUGACGGGGAUCUUGUACUCACGGGCAAUGCCUGCCUACUAUUAUCUUUGGAAUCAGCAUGUGAGGCCCCCUACAGUGCCUCAUCCAUCUGACUCAUGCCGAAGAUGGUCCAGGCGUCACCUGAGCUAUGCUACCUUUGGUAAAGACCCAUGCAGGCUUCUCUUUGCCCUGGAGUCACACUUUCUCCCCUAUUGACACCCCAGCCAGGAUCACACCAAUACCUCCAACAUCAAUCAGAAGUCAACAAGAAUGGAAAACAGACUAAAGUAACUUCUAUGGACAGGGCUGGGUCUA